AAGGGAAACAGGUUAAUAUUCCUGUACUAUAUCAAGGAGGUAAAAUGGUAACAUAAAUGAACUCAAAUACAUCAGUAGAAUAACCAGGAAGAGUUCUCUUUUCUUCUUAACAACUUCCUCGCAAGAGGUGUAUAAAUGACCAUGGAAUCAAUUUAGUUGGAGAAAUGGUUAAAGAGUUGGCAGAGUAAUUCAAUUUCUGAAUUAUCUGGUUAGGUUCUAAUGAUACAUAAAAAUUUAGAGGGGAAUGAUCUUGCUUGAAUAGUCGUACUCAUAACCGCAGCAGGUCUCCAAGGUUAGAAGCCUCUAGUUGGCAGAAUAAUGUAGGUAAGGGAAGUCGGCAAAAUAGAUCUGUAACUUCGGGAAAAAGAUUGGCUCUAAAGGCUGAGGUAUAAUGGGGCUAUAUGUGAAGUUAUUGGAGAUUAGGUCGUUACGUA
This 434-nucleotide ribosomal RNA is filed under the name uncultured eukaryote. RNAcentral describes it as "eukaryotic LSU rRNA". It matches the Rfam family "Eukaryotic large subunit ribosomal RNA", at positions 1598 to 2012 of the family's 3401-position model. The record is from RNAcentral.